RNAcentral lists this ribosomal RNA (496 nucleotides) under uncultured bacterium. Its description in RNAcentral is "partial 16S ribosomal RNA". It matches the Rfam family "Bacterial small subunit ribosomal RNA", at positions 30 to 523 of the family's 1533-position model. The record is from RNAcentral.
AUUGAACGCUGGCGGAAUGCUUUACACAUGCAAGUCGAACGGUAGAGGGGGCAACCCCUCGAGAGUGGCGAACGGGUGAGUAAUAUAUCGGAACGUGCCCAGUCGUGGGGGAUAACGUAGCGAAAGUUACGCUAAUACCGCAUACGAUCUAAGGAUGAAAGCGGGGGAUCGCAAGACCUCGCGCGAUUGGAGCGGCCGAUAUCAGAUUAGGGAGUUGGUGGGGUAAAGGCUCACCAAGCCAACGAUCUGUAGCUGGGCUGAGAGGACGACCAGCCACACUGGAACUGAGACACGGUCCAGACUCCUACGGGAGGCAGCAGUGGGGAAUUUUGGACAAUGGCCGCAAGUCCGAUCCAGCCAUUCCGCGUGCAGGAUGAAGGCCCUCGGGUUGUAAACUGCUUUUGUACGGAACGAAAAGGUCUCUCUUAAUACGGGGGACUCAUGACGGUACCGUAAGAAUAAGCACCGGCUAACUACGUGCCAGCCGCCGCCGUAA